UGGGGAAUAUUGCACAAUGGGCGCAAGCCUGAUGCAGCCAUGCCGCGUGUGUGAAGAAGGCCUUCGGGUUGUAAAGCACUUUCAGCGAGGAGGAAGGUGGUGAGCUUAAUACGCUCAUCAAUUGACGUUACUCGCAGAAGAAGCACCGGCUAACUCCGUGCCAGCAGCCGCGGUAAUACGGAGGGUGCAAGCGUUAAUCGGAAUUACUGGGCGUAAAGCGCACGCAGGCGGUUUGUUAAGUCAGAUGUGAAAUCCCCGGGCUCAACCUGGGAACUGCAUUUGAAACUGGCAAGCUAGAGUCUCGUAGAGGGGGGUAGAAUUCCAGGUGUAGCGGUGAAAUGCGUAGAGAUCUGGAGGAAUACCGGUGGCGAAGGCGGCCCCCUGGACGAAGACUGACGCUCAGGUGCGAAAGGCGUGGGCAGANAAACAGGAUUAGAUACCCUGGUAGUCCACGCUGUAAAACGAUGUCGAUUUUGGAGGUUGUGCCCUUCGAGGCGUGGCUUCCGGAGCUAACG
RNAcentral lists this ribosomal RNA (515 nucleotides) under uncultured bacterium. RNAcentral describes it as "partial 16S ribosomal RNA". It matches the Rfam family "Bacterial small subunit ribosomal RNA", at positions 355 to 857 of the family's 1533-position model. The record is from RNAcentral.